AGCGAACGCUGGCGGCAGGCCUAACACAUGCAAGUCGAACGAACCUUUCGGGGUUAGUGGCGGACGGGUGAGUAACACGUGGGAACGUGCCUUUAGGUUCGGAAUAACUCAGGGAAACUUGUGCUAAUACCGAAUGUGCCCUUCGGGGGAAAGAUUUAUCGCCUUUAGAGCGGCCCGCGUCUGAUUAGCUAGUUGGUUGAGGUAAUGGCUCACCAAGGCGACGAUCAGUAGCUGGUCUGAGAGGAUGAUCAGCCACAUUGGGACUGAGACACGGCCCAAACUCCUACGGGAGGCAGCAGUGGGGAAUCGUGCGCAAUGGGCGAAAGCCUGAUGCAGCGACGCCGCGUGGGGGAUGAAGGCCUGCGGGGUGUAAACUUCUUUUGCUCUGAACAAGGCGCACUUUUGGGUGUGUUGAGUGUAGGGGUGGAUUAGCGCCGGCUAACUACGUG
This 449-nucleotide ribosomal RNA is filed under the name uncultured bacterium. RNAcentral describes it as "partial 16S ribosomal RNA". It matches the Rfam family "Bacterial small subunit ribosomal RNA", at positions 29 to 507 of the family's 1533-position model. The record is from RNAcentral.